AAGGGAGAAACCGAAAACCCAUUAGAGUAGGUA
This 33-nucleotide non-coding RNA is filed under the name unclassified sequences. RNAcentral's name for it is "DUF805b RNA". It matches the Rfam family "DUF805b RNA". From Rfam's summary of the family: Bacteroidetes, Chlorobi (1 example), Proteobacteria. The record is from RNAcentral.